AACUAAACAGUAUUUGAUUCACUUUCCCUCAAAUUCUUUACGACCAUUUUCUCUUCUCUUUUCUUUUUGUUUUUUAUUUCUUUUCAUUUGUUUUCCUGAAGGAAUACGAUAGGAACAUGAAUUUUCUUCCUUUUUUUCUUCGUUUUUUUCUUUCUUUCGUCUGCAAAGUUUUAAAAUAUCACAAAUAUAAUAAUUCAACCCCACACAAACUCCAAACAAGAAUCACUCAUCCCCUCAAAUAGGGUAUACCAUUAUUUUUCACCUUUA
RNAcentral lists this long non-coding RNA (267 nucleotides) under Lathyrus oleraceus (garden pea). RNAcentral's name for it is "Pisum sativum (pea) long non-coding RNA (PSAT_LNC039130)". Lineage: Eukaryota; Viridiplantae; Streptophyta; Magnoliopsida; Fabales; Fabaceae. The record is from RNAcentral.